Molecule: ribosomal RNA, 547 nt
Filed under: Rhadinomerus sp. ARC2071
Lineage: Eukaryota; Metazoa; Arthropoda; Insecta; Coleoptera; Curculionidae
Description: partial 16S ribosomal RNA
Rfam family: Bacterial large subunit ribosomal RNA
Source: RNAcentral
CGCCUGUUUAUUAAAAACAUGGUUUUUUGAUAAUAAUUUAAGAUCUGACCUGCCCUAUGAUGAAAAUUAAAUGGCUGCAGUAUUUUGACUGUGCAAAGGUAGCAUAAUCAUUAGUUUUUUAAUUGAAAGCUGGUAUGAAAGGUUGAAUGAAAAAAUAACUGUCUCUAUAGAAUUUUAAUAGAAUUUUAUUUUUAAGUUAAAAAGCUUAAAUUUAUAUUGAAGACGAGAAGACCCUAUAGAGUUUUAUAUUGAUAUUUGUUAAAAUUUUUAGGAUUUAUAUUUUUAAUGGGUAAAAAUAUUUAGUUGGGGUGAUUGGAAAAUUAAUUAAACUUUUCUUGACUUGAAACAUUGAUUUAUGGUUGAAUGAUCCUUUUUAGAUUAAAAGAUAAAAUUACCUUAGGGAUAACAGCGUAAUUUUUUUUUAGAGUUCCAAUUGAAAAAAAAGAUUGCGACCUCGAUGUUGGAUUAAAAUUAAGUUUUGGUGUAGCAGCUAAAAUUUUAGGUCUGUUCGACCUUUAAUAUUUUACAUGAUCKGAGUUUAAACCGG